UCGAGGGGCAGCAUAAAGUACUUGUACUUUGAUGGCGACCGGCGAACGGGUGCGUAACGCGUAUGCAACUUACCUUUUACUAGAGAAUAGCCAAGAGAAAUUUUGAUUAAUGCUCUAUACUCUUUUUAACUCACAUGAGUUUUUAAGAAAAGCUCCGGCGGUAAAAGAUGGGCAUGCGUCCUAUUAGCUUGUAGGUGAGGUAACGGCUCACCUAAGCUCCGAUAGGUAGGGGUCCUGAGAGGGAGAUCCCCCACACUGGUACUGAGACACGGACCAGACUUCUACGGAAGGCAGCAGUAAGGAAUAUUGGACAAUGGAGGAAACUCUGAUCCAGCGAUGCCGCGUGAAGGAAGACGGCCCUAUGGGUUGUAAACUUCUUUUAUACAGGAAGAAACCUUUCCACGUGUGGAAAGCUGACGGUACUGUAAGAAUAAGGAUCGGCUAACUCCGUGCCAGCAGCCGCGGUAAUACGGAGGAUCCAAGCGUUAUCCGGAAUUAUUGGGUUUAAAGGGUCCGCAGGCUGUUUGUUAAGUCAGGGGUGAAAUCCUACCGCUCAACGGUAGAACUGCCUUUGAUACUGGCAAACUUGAGUUAUUGUGAAGUAGUUAGAAUGUGUAGUGUAGCGGUGAAAUGCAUAGAUAUUACACAGAAUACCAAUUGCGAAGGCAGAUUACUAACAAUUAACUGACGCUGAGGGACGAAAGCGUGGGUAGCGAACAGGAUUAGAU
Molecule: ribosomal RNA, 728 nt
Filed under: uncultured bacterium
Lineage: Bacteria
Description: bacterial SSU rRNA
Rfam family: Bacterial small subunit ribosomal RNA
Source: RNAcentral